This 660-nucleotide ribosomal RNA is filed under the name Escherichia coli. RNAcentral's name for it is "partial 23S ribosomal RNA". It matches the Rfam family "Bacterial large subunit ribosomal RNA", at positions 612 to 1271 of the family's 2925-position model. The record is from RNAcentral. Lineage: Bacteria; Pseudomonadati; Pseudomonadota; Gammaproteobacteria; Enterobacterales; Enterobacteriaceae.
AUAAUGGGUCAGCGACUUAUAUUCUGUAGCAAGGUUAACCGAAUAGGGGAGCCGAAGGGAAACCGAGUCUUAACUGGGCGUUAAGUUGCAGGGUAUAGACCCGAAACCCGGUGAUCUAGCCAUGGGCAGGUUGAAGGUUGGGUAACACUAACUGGAGGACCGAACCGACUAAUGUUGAAAAAUUAGCGGAUGACUUGUGGCUGGGGGUGAAAGGCCAAUCAAACCGGGAGAUAGCUGGUUCUCCCCGAAAGCUAUUUAGGUAGCGCCUCGUGAAUUCAUCUCCGGGGGUAGAGCACUGUUUCGGCAAGGGGGUCAUCCCGACUUACCAACCCGAUGCAAACUGCGAAUACCGGAGAAUGUUAUCACGGGAGACACACGGCGGGUGCUAACGUCCGUCGUGAAGAGGGAAACAACCCAGACCGCCAGCUAAGGUCCCAAAGUCAUGGUUAAGUGGGAAACGAUGUGGGAAGGCCCAGACAGCCAGGAUGUUGGCUUAGAAGCAGCCAUCAUUUAAAGAAAGCGUAAUAGCUCACUGGUCGAGUCGGCCUGCGCGGAAGAUGUAACGGGGCUAAACCAUGCACCGAAGCUGCGGCAGCGACGCUGAUGCGUUGUUGGGUAGGGGAGCGUUCUGUAAGCCUGUGAAGGUGUGCUGUGAGGCAU